RNAcentral lists this ribosomal RNA (616 nucleotides) under Arthrobacter sp. EK-MI3. RNAcentral describes it as "bacterial SSU rRNA". It matches the Rfam family "Bacterial small subunit ribosomal RNA", at positions 53 to 685 of the family's 1533-position model. Lineage: Bacteria; Bacillati; Actinomycetota; Actinomycetes; Micrococcales; Micrococcaceae. The record is from RNAcentral.
ANNUGCAGUCGACGAUGAUGGGAGCUUGCUCCUGGAUUAGUGGCGAACGGGUGAGUAACACGUGAGUAACCUGCCCUUAACUCUGGGAUAAGCCUGGGAAACUGGGUCUAAUACCGGAUAUGACUCCUCAUCGCAUGGUGGGGGGUGGAAAGCUUUUUGUGGUUUUGGAUGGACUCGCGGCCUAUCAGCUUGUUGGUGAGGUAAUGGCUUACCAAGGCGACGACGGGUAGCCGGCCUGAGAGGGUGACCGGCCACACUGGGACUGAGACACGGCCCAGACUCCUACGGGAGGCAGCAGUGGGGAAUAUUGCACAAUGGGCGCAAGCCUGAUGCAGCGACGCCGCGUGAGGGAUGACGGCCUUCGGGUUGUAAACCUCUUUCAGUAGGGAAGAAGCGAAAGUGACGGUACCUGCAGAAGAAGCGCCGGCUAACUACGUGCCAGCAGCCGCGGUAAUACGUAGGGCGCAAGCGUUAUCCGGAAUUAUUGGGCGUAAAGAGCUCGUAGGCGGUUUGUCGCGUCUGCCGUGAAAGUCCGGGGCUCAACUCCGGAUCUGCGGUGGGUACGGGCAGACUAGAGUGAUGUAGGGGAGACUGGAAUUCCUGGUGUAGCGGUAAA